UUCUUCAUAUCUUUUUUUAGAGUUCAAGGGGAAACAACCCCCUGUCCAUAUGCAUUGCAAACAGGACAACAGGUUUAAGCAGUUACAUCUCAGGGUCUCUCUUCAGUGCCUCAAGCCCCACACAGGAAUUAAGAACUGUUAAAAAGCCAACAAGCUAAACAGCAGUACUACAACACUCCAACUACAUUGAGAACCCCCAACUCAAUUCACCUCUACUGAAACCAUCACUCUCCAGCUGCACACAACAGGAGUAACUGGGAAACCCUGCUACUGUCUUUCUUUGCCUUUUUCCUGUUUUACAGCUUGGUGUUGAUCAUGAGGAAGCACCAUCCUUCCAACAAAUCCUCCCCGGCAUCGCCACCAGUGCCUCCAAGCUGCUCAGCCACGCAUUGUAUCUCUCCAGAUGUUUUGCAGGGCACAGCAGGGACCAAUUCUUGAGCAUUCCUGACAUACUCCACCAAAGCUGCGAGAGAUCCUUCCACCUGUAGUUCUGAAAACAUAAGGAAUUCCUCAGUUUCCAAAUGGCCCACAUGGCCGCGGCACAAAACAUAUUCAUCACACAAUGCUUCUUAUCACUUAUCCAAAAUCUAGCCACAGAUUCAAAAUCCCUAAAGCCAUCUGUGCCAUCUAUCUCAGCUAGUCCUACCCAAAUCUGUUGGGCAACCACACACCCAAAAAACAGGUGAUGAACAGUUUCAGUUUCAGCGCAGAAAAGACAAGUAUUGUCUUCUAGUUUUCUUCUCUUGGCUAGAUUAUCUCUGGUUAGUAGUUUGUUCUUUGAGAGCAGCCAUAAAAAAAUAUGCACCCGUGGUGGGAUGUGCAACUUCCAUACUGCUGGAGUAUGCACAGGCACCACACCCCUAAAGUUUAUAAUUUUGUAGAGGGAUUGUGACGAAUAGAUACCACUCAAGGUGUAUUCCCAGAUUACCACAUCAUCUUCACAAGUAAAUGUAAUGGUGGAUGCUAUCUGAACUAUUUCCUCCCACUUUCUAAACUGGCUUGGUGUAACAUGUUGGCAAUGGCCAAGGUGAGUUUCCUAAACUCACAGCCACUCUCUCACACGCCUUGAGGUAGAAGAAGGGAUAGGAGAACAGAGCACACACACACACUCAGUUUCAAUUUGUGCUGCUGACCUGAAUUGAGCUGCAGCUGCUCUUCUACUCUUUAUAGAGACUAAAGUCAAACUAGAGUACAUACUAGAAUGAGUGCUUCUACCAACUACCUACUACUUAGUACAAUACAUGACAGGGCAUGCUUGCCCUUCUACUCAUGGCACUGCUGCCAUAUACGGCAGGCAGGAGCCAGUAGCAGGCUAGGAGCUCUACCAGCUCCAUUGACUUUGCAAAAGGAAGAGAGAAGCAAAUGAGCUGAGCAAUUAACUAACAUAACACACCUUCGAAAAGUACAUUUCAGAGUUGCCCCAUCCCACAACUCUGCAAUGGUGGCUGAUUGUUCAUGAACCAGCAUAUAAAUAUCCCAAAACAGAAUGGCUAAGCU
RNAcentral lists this long non-coding RNA (1497 nucleotides) under Setaria italica (foxtail millet). RNAcentral describes it as "long non-coding RNA (SITA_LNC005317)". Lineage: Eukaryota; Viridiplantae; Streptophyta; Magnoliopsida; Poales; Poaceae. The record is from RNAcentral.